GACAUUAGCUCGCAGCAUUUUAUUUAAACUGCAACACAGAGAAUGAAUUCAUUUUUCUCCUUGCAGAGGAAAAGUUGUAUAAUUACCUUCUGACACAAGUGGCCUAAAAUUUUGUUGUCCCCACCCCCUCUGUUUUCCUCCAUAUACAUUUGUUCACAACAUUAAUUUAUCCAAUAUUUGUGAAACUCACUCCCAUAGCUACAGCAGCAACAAUCUGCAGUGGGCAGCAGUUUCUCCAUAAUGACAUGAGCCCUGAUGUUUGCUCAUGCAUAGUCUGUUUCCAUUCAUUUCAUUCACAUCUGAUAAACAAGGCUUUGAAGUUAAAAGACGCUUUGUGCAUCAAGACGGUUUUACAGGCACUAUCAUCAACCUUAGAUUGUGAUUAAUGACCGUGCUCAAACAAAAUACGUCGGCUGCAAUCCCUGUUGUCUGUUAGCAUUUAUACAAUCGAAAGUAAUUGGCAAGGUAUCCAUCUCAUGCAAAGCUGUUUCUGUUUCUUUUUGCACAAGGACAGUCUGCAACAUGUGGUUUGGGGAAAAAGAAGACGACAGUAACUCAGAAUACAGUCAUACCUCGGGUUGAAUACGCUUCAGGUUGAGGGCUUUCGGGUUGCGCCCCGCGGUGAUCCGGAAGUAACGGAGUGUGUUACUUCCGGGUUUCGCCGCUCAUGCAUGCGCAGACGGUCAAAAUGAUGUCAAACGCAUGCGCAUAAGCGGCAAAUCGUGACCUGCACACGUGCAGACGCGCAGUCGCGGGUUGUGUUUGCUUCAGGAUGCAAACGGGGCUCCAGAACAGAUCCCGUUCGCAUCCUGAGGUACCAUUGUACUAAGAAAAACAUAGGGGUGUGUGUUGGGCUGCCGGCCUCCACCUUUUUGUAUUUGCUUCCAUAUAUAGUUCUUUGGCAGCCUUGUAAGAUGGCACUGACAUUUUAAAAGCUGAACAAGUUAAGCGAUCAACCCAAACUACACAAAUAAUAAAUUAUUAUUAUGAUUAAUAAUAAUAAUAAUACCCUGCCCAUCUGGGCGGCCCCCAGCAGAAUAUUAAAAACACGAUAAAACAUCAAACAUUAAAAACUUCCCUAAACUGGGUUGCCUACAGAUGUCUUCUAAAAGUCAGAUAGUUGGUUGUUUCCUUGACAUCUGAUGGGUGGGCGUUCCACAGGGCGGGCGCCACUACCGAAAAGGCCCUCUGCCUGGUUCCCUGUAGCUUCACUUCUCGCAGUGAGGGAACCGCCAGAAGGUCCUCGGAGCUGGACCUCAAUGUCUGGGCUGAAUGUUGGAGAUGGAGAUGCUCCUUUAGGUAUACUGGGCCGAGGCCGUUUAGGGCUUUAAAGGUCAGCACCAACACUUUGAAUUGUGCUCGGAAACGUACUGGGAGCCAAUGUAGGUCUUUCAGGACCAUUGUUAUGUGGUUUCGGCAGCCACUCCCAGUGGCCAGCUUAGCUGCCACAUUCUGGAUUAGUUGUAGUUUCCAGGUCACCUUCAAAGGUAGCCCCAUGUAGAGCACAUUUCGGUAGUCUCAAGCGGGAGAUAACUAGAGCAAGAAUAGAUAAUGUCACUGAAAGUUACAGAUGUAUAGCAAUAGCACUGUUUUUGAAAAAAACUUCAUCAAAGUUAGUGGGAGAAUGCAAUGCAAGGAGUGCCCUGCAUGCAACAUUAAGGGGCUAAAUACAGAUGCUCUAUUCCCGGCUGCUAUUAAAACUUGUAUCUGUCAUAAGUGUUGCAUUCACUUGCUAAAAAAUGGCUUCACUUGCAAUCAAUGCUACUGCACAGAUUUAUUGGGAAGCAGAUCUUUUCACAUAAGCUUCAUGUAGUAAUGGGCCUCUCUGUUCUCAUUCAUCAGAGCUAUUGUUGUUCAGAAAGCUUAGCCAACAUACAUGAAGAGCCUUGUGACUCAACUCACUACAGGAAAUGCUGAAAUCAACCCUUUGUUGACAGCUUCUGUUUCUCUGAAUGUGAUGGAUGUGGAGGGAGACUGGAGCAAAUCUCAUGUAAAAACAGCCAUUCUGUCUUGCUUUAAACAUGAUAGAUGGGUUGCUUGGAUGCAUGGGUACUAAAAAUUUUCUGUGCUUGAGUAAGCAGGUAUGCUGUAUCUGUGGUCCUGAUCUCUUCUACAUACCUUUCUCUCCCAGUUUGUUUCUAACACAGCCCCUGGUGGGAAUUCCUGCCUUAAGCAGAUAUGGGCCCGAUUUAGAGGCAAGAGAAUUCUGUAUAUCUAGCUGAAAAAGUUAAGCUGUCCCCUUUGUGAAGAAAUGCUGUAAACACACAUGUCAACAGGCUGACUGGGACAGAGGCAUCACUGCAGAGAAGAGAUUUCAUUAUUUCUUCUUGUGGGUGUUCUUCAGCUAUACAAAUGUUGGUUUGAAACUGAUGGUGCCCUUUGUUAGCAGAAAGACACUUCCAUUUCCACUAAGUGGCCUCUAUUUCUGUCAGUGCCUGAAUUCCUGCUGAAGCCAUACACAGCUCACCCUAUGCUGUUCUAUCAAGGCUUAGGAGCAGCUUUUCGGUGGGUGGAUGGUUGGUGCAGUGUGGAGGAAAGAGCAAGAAAGGUGUGUUUUGUAGUGAUGUUCCACUUGCACUUCUUUGUAUCCAAGCCAUUUUGUUCUGUACAGUCAUAUCUCGGGUUGAAGUUGCUUCAGGUUGAGCACUUUCGGGUUGCACUCUGCGGCGAUCCGGAAGUAACGGAACGCGUUACUUCCGGGUUUCGCUGCUCGCGCAUGCGCAGAUGGUCAAAAUGAUGUGGAAGCGGCGAAUCGCAACCUGCACACGCGCAGACGCGGGUUGCGUUUACUUCAGGAUGCGAACAGGGCUCUGGAACAGAUCCCAUUCGUAUCCAGAGGUACCACUGUACAAGGAACUUUCUGCAUCAGGCCCACUCAAAUGCAUCAGGCCCCUCUCUCCCUUAUAGGCCCUUUUAUCCCUCAAAUCAGCUGAGCAGUAUUGUGGGGUUAAUGAGUUGUUUUUAUUAGUCUGUAUUUUAUGAAUGGUUAAAAUGUAACACGUCAUAUCUAAAACCAGCAGUUAAAAUAUAAUUUGUCCUGACAGCAGCCCAGUGACCAAUAUCAUCUGCAUGCAAGUAGAAAGAUAACAUAGAGGAGUCCAUCUAACCCAUCCUUGGGUAUGACGUUCACAAUCUGGGAGCAGUCACAGAAAAGCUUGCUCUUGGCUUACCACCAUGUUUCCGCGGUUGAUGGGACUUAGAGGAGUUGCUCACUUGAGGAUCUUUGCACUUGGGCAGGUUUGUAUAGGGAGAUAGAACCUUCAGGUGGCCUGAGCCCAAGCCAUAUAGGGCAUUAUAGGUCAUAACUGGCACUUUGAAUUCUGCCCAUAAACAGACC
This 3337-nucleotide long non-coding RNA is filed under the name Podarcis lilfordi (Lilford's wall lizard). The record is from RNAcentral. Lineage: Eukaryota; Metazoa; Chordata; Lepidosauria; Squamata; Lacertidae.